CGGUGAUCUAUCCAUGGGCAGGUUGAAGGUUGGGUAACACUAACUGGAGGACCGAACCGACUAAUGUUGAAAAAUUAGCGGAUGACUUGUGGAUGGGGGUGAAAGGCCAAUCAAACCGGGAGAUAGCUGGUUCUCCCCGAAAGCUAUUUAGGUAGCGCCUCGUGAACUCAUCUUCGGGGGUAGAGCACUGUUUCGACUAGGGGGUCAUCCCGACUUACCAACUCGAUGCAAACUGCGAAUACCGAAGAAUGUUAUCACGGGAGACACACGGCGGGUGCUAACGUCCGUCGUGAAGAGGGAACAACCCAGACCGCCAGCUAAGGUCCCAAAGUCAUGGUUAAGUGGGAAACGAAGUGGGAAGGCUCAGACAGCCAGGAUGUUGGCUUAGAAGCAGCCAUCAUUUAAAGAAAGCGUAAUAGCUCACUGGUCGAGUCGGCC
This 438-nucleotide ribosomal RNA is filed under the name Shigella sp. FC1967. RNAcentral's name for it is "bacterial LSU rRNA". It matches the Rfam family "Bacterial large subunit ribosomal RNA", at positions 723 to 1159 of the family's 2925-position model. The record is from RNAcentral. Lineage: Bacteria; Pseudomonadati; Pseudomonadota; Gammaproteobacteria; Enterobacterales; Enterobacteriaceae.